UUGAAGUAAGGUAACACUUACCGGAGGACCGAACCAGUUGACGUUGAAAAGUCUUUGGAUGACUUGUGGUAAGGGGUGAAAGGCCAACCAAAUUCGUAGAUAGCUGGUUUUCCGCGAAAACUAUUUAGGUAGUGCGUUGAAUAAAUAGACAUUUAGAGGUAGAGCACUAAAUGGGCUAGGGGGAAGAGAUUCUUACCAAACCUAAUAAAACUCCGAAUGCUAAAUGUUGUUCUUCAGCAGACAGACUGUGGGUGCUAAGGUCCAUGGUCGAGAGGGAAAGAGCCCAGACCACCAGAUAAGGUCCCCAAAUUAUGAUUAAGUGUGAAAGGAUGUGGAAAUUCCUUAACAGCCGGGAGGUUGGCUUAGAAGCAGCCAUCCUUUAAAGAUAGCGUAACAGCUCACCGGUCUAAUAGAGUUUCUGCGCCGAAGAUGUAACGGGGCUAAAAUCAUAUACCGAAUCUGUGGAUUUAUAAUUUUUUCGAAAAUUGUAACUGGUAGCGGAACGUUCUGUAAGCCUGUGAAGGGAUACCCGCGAGGGAUCCUGGAGGUAUCAGAAGUGCGAAUGCUGACAUAAGUAACGAUAAAAGAAGUGAAAAACUUCUUCGCCGAAAAUCCAAGGGUUUCUGCGCAAGGUUAAUCCGCGCAGAGUUAGUCGGCACCUAAGGCGAGGGCGAAAGCCGUAGUCGAUGGAAAUAAGGUUAAUAUUCCUUAACCAGAUGGUAGUGACGGAUCUUGUAAGUUGUGAGUUCUUAAUGGAUUGAACUUGCCGCGAAAAGGUUCCAAGAAAUAGCUCCAUCAUUAGACCGUACCCUAAACCGACACAGGUGGAUUAAUAGAGUAUAUUUAGGCGCUUGAGAGAAUGAUGUUGAAGGAACUCGGCAAAAUACUUCCGUAACUUCGGGAUAAGGAAGACCUUUUUGUAGGCAACUAUAAGAGGGUGGCACAAGCCAGGGAGAAGCGACUGUUUAUCAAAAACACAGGGCUCUGCUAACACGUAAGUGGAUGUAUAGGGUCUGACGCCUGCCCGGUGCUGGAAGGUUAAUGCGGUUGGUGCAAGCUAACUUCUGAAGCCCCAGUAAACGGCGGCCGUAACUAUAACGGUCCUAAGGUAGCGAAAUUCCUUGUCGGGUAAGUUCCGACCUGCAUGAAUGGCGUAACGAUUUCUCCGCUGUCUCCAACAUCAACUCAGUGAAAUUGAAUUCUCCGUGAAGAUGCGGAGUUCGCGUAGUUAGACGGAAAGACCCCGUGCACCUUUACUGCAACUUUACAUUGGUAUUAGGAAAAACAUAUUUAGCAUAGGAGGGAGACAUUGAAGCAAAGGCGUCAGCUUUUGUGGAGUCACCAGUGAAAUACCUCUUUUGUUUUUCUUGGUAUCUAACUGAUCGCCGUCAUCCGGCAUCAA
Molecule: ribosomal RNA, 1402 nt
Filed under: marine metagenome
Description: bacterial LSU rRNA
Rfam family: Bacterial large subunit ribosomal RNA
Source: RNAcentral